Molecule: unclassified non-coding RNA, 495 nt
Filed under: Hevea brasiliensis (rubber tree)
Lineage: Eukaryota; Viridiplantae; Streptophyta; Magnoliopsida; Malpighiales; Euphorbiaceae
Source: RNAcentral
CCGAUCCGACGAUCUCUUCCACGAUAAGACCAACAACCCUAAGAUAACAGCAAACGACGUCGUUAUCAUCAGAAGCACGGAGUCAGUCACAGAACUUCCGAGCGAGACGCCAAGCACCGACUCAACGAAGCUAACCAAUUCCGACCCUGAACUCAUCUCGAUCUAAAAUCCAAAUCCAAAAAAUCCAACAAUACAAAACUAAAUAAUUUAAAGUCUUGAAAUAAUCGGCUUCGGCUUUGGUUCUUCUCUCCCUUGGUGACUUUGGAGAACGAGCCCUAAAAUAUGGGGGUGGGUAAGCAGAGAGAGAGAGAUACAGGGCGCGUUGGGUGGGGAGAGAGACGGUGCAGACAAGGAGAAACGGGUGUGGUGCUUGUAGACGGGACCCACCGCGAUCUUGACCAGUUGUUUUAUUCUUAUUUUUUAAAUAAAAAAGAAGGAAAAAGCUCUUUUUGCAAUGUUCUCUCGCGCCUGCCGUGGAAGCGUCGUCGCGUUCGU